GUUAUAGCCUGGCUGGUACACAGCAGUGUUAUGGUGUUAUAGCCUGGUUAGUACACAGCAGCAGCAUUGUGGUUGUUAUGGUGUUAUAGCCUGGCUAGUACACAGCAGUGUUGUGGUGUUAUAGCCUGGCUAGUACACAGCGCAGUGUUGUGGUGUUAUAGCCUGGCUAGUACACAGCAGUGUUGUGGUGUUAUAGCCUGGCUAGUACACAGCAGUGUUGUGGUGUUAUAGCCUGGCUAGUACACAGCAGUGUUGUGGUGUUAUAGCCUGGCUAGUACACAGCAGUGUUGUGGUGUUAUGGCCUGGCUAGUACACAGCAGUGUUGUGGUUUUAUAGCCUGGCUAGUACACAGCUGCUGUAUUGUGGUGGUAUAGCCUGGCAAGUACACAGAGCAGUAUUAUGCUGUUGUAGUCUUGCCAGUACUGUGCUGUUGUUAAGACAACUGUUAUGGCAUUUUAUACCGUCGUAUGGCAGUAUAUAUUGGUGGUUGGGAUGCAUAAAGUGCAUGUUUUGAUCACUCAUUGAAGUUGUUCAGUAUUUUAUAUACCUAAAGAGAUUAUACUUAUCAUUUGUAUAUAGUUGGCAAGUUGAGGAUGUUGAAGGAAGUCUAUUACUUGUGCAGGUUUCACAACGUUGAUCCACCCAGAACACACCGUCCACUCUCUUUAUACACCAAGUCAGUUGUCACGUCCCAAACAGCUGAUAGCAACAUGCCUCCUAUGAUAAUAAGCAUACACAAAGAUUCUUGAGGUCAAGACCGAAACUGGUAUCAAAGUAUUGGUAGCUUAAAGAUAAUGGGGUUGACUGUAUGUUUGUAUAAGAGCUUUGGAUUGUGUGAAGCCCUGUUGUUACACUGAGUGUUGAAAAUUGUAUAUAUAGUAAGGAUGAUCUCAGUCUCUGAGCAGUGUUGCCAUUGAUGCUUGCAAGUCUAUACAAAUGAAUCAAAAUGAACACAUUUACCCAGAAGACACCUCUAUUGGAGAUUGCAUAAAGUGAAUACCUUUCCCAGAUGUACAUAGUGUAGGCUGUGAGUGGACAUUGUUGAAUUUUUAAUAUUUUAUGUAUGCUGUUAUUUUUUAGUUCAGUGGCACCUUACCCGUGAAGAUCCGGGUUAGAAUAUUCAUCUUCAGUAACACAUGCUUGUCGUUAGAGGCGUCUAACGGGAUCUGGU
RNAcentral lists this long non-coding RNA (1171 nucleotides) under Haliotis rubra (blacklip abalone). RNAcentral's name for it is "uncharacterized LOC124285987, transcript variant X2". The record is from RNAcentral. Lineage: Eukaryota; Metazoa; Mollusca; Gastropoda; Lepetellida; Haliotidae.